This 1622-nucleotide non-coding RNA is filed under the name Pan troglodytes (chimpanzee). The record is from RNAcentral. Lineage: Eukaryota; Metazoa; Chordata; Mammalia; Primates; Hominidae.
GAUUGAUUUCCACCAUCAACACCUUUACCUCUUCCCGCCUGAAAAUAAAAUAUGAAAUAUAACAAGUAAAUCGCAAUCUACCUUGCACAGAAUCUUCUGGAGAGGGAAAGAAGAAACCAUGUCUAGACAAGGUGCUGGAAAGACCCAGGGAAGACACAGAUAUGUGUGCCUUUAUUAGCGGAGCCACUACUUGAGGGGGAUGAAGCGGGAGGAGUGGGUGGCCCCAGUGCCAGGCCGGCCGUGCUUCACGGGCUUGUAGGUGAUGGAGAACUCGCCCAGGUCGUGGCCGAUCACCUCCAGCUUGAUCUCCACCUGGUUGAAGGUCUUGCCGUUGUAGACGCCCACCCUGCUGCCCACCAUCUUGGGAGGGAUGAUCAUAUCCCGCAGGCGCGUCUUCACCACUUCCUGCUUCCCUAUGGUCGGCGCCUCCUUCUUGGCCUAGCACAGGCGCCUCAGCAGCGAGUGCGGCUUGCGCCUCAGCAUUCCGCCGCAGGCCGUGGUUCAGCCGCCGCAGCUGGCGCGCACCGUACAGCUGCCUCAGCUGCUCAAAGGACAUGUCCAGCAGCUGGCCCAGGUCCACACCGCGGUAGGUGAACUUGCGGAAGGUCCGCUGCUGCUUCUCCUCUACCUCUGCCAUCUUGCCGGAUCCUCUGAAAAUGAUUCCGUAAGUGCCAGAGUCCUUCACAUACGGAUUUUAACCUAAUUCUGUAAUGAUUUUAAUUAGCUGAUAUAUUAAAAACAACGUCAGUAAGUGUUUCCCUUCAAGGAAGCCUCAACUUUGAGAAACGGUGAAUUACGUGAGGUAAACCUCGUAUUUAUGUGAGGAAAGCUCUGCACUGGUUUUGAUUCUCACAUUUUAAUUAGCUGAUACAUUAAAAACAAUAUAAGUAAUUUUUCCCUUCCGGGAAACCUCAACUUGGAGUAACGCUGGAUUACGUGAGCUAAACCUCGUAAUUAUGUGAGAAAGGCUAAGUAUUGGUUUUGUUUCCCACAUUUACGUGAGGAAAUCGAGGCACAAUGUUAAGUGUCACAAGGUCAAGUAACUAGUAAGGGACAGGCCAAGAUAGAAAUCUGUUUGUAGAACUCUUGUGCUUAAUGACUAAGAAGCGUGCGCAGAUGCAAGGGCCAGACAGGGAAACAAGAGAUCCAUUUGUACCAAUAGCAUGGAAGAUUGACUUUGUUUCAGGGAAUCGCGUUUUUUCAUAAAAACUUCAGGAUUAACCCACCUCACAUAUUUUCUCCAAAGUUAUAGUUAUGUAUUGGAUUUAAGAAUAGACUGAACCUGGGCUCCCCACAGCACAAGAUAAAAAACUGAUAGCGGCUGGGCACGGUGGCUCACGCCUGUAUUCCCAGCACUUUGGGAGACCAAGGUAGGCGGAUCACCUGAGGUCAGAAGUUUGAGACUAGCCUGGGCAACAUGGUGAAACCCUAUCUCUACUAAAAAUACAAAAUCAGCGGGGUGUGGUGGUGGGUACCUGUAAUCCCAGCUACUCGGGAAGUUGAGGCAGGAAAAUCGCUUGAACCUGGAGGCAGAGGUUGCAGUGAGCCAAGAUGGCGCCACUGCACUCCAGCCUGGGUGACAGAGCGAGACCCCGUCACCAAAAAAAAAAAAAAAAAAAAAA